Molecule: ribosomal RNA, 256 nt
Filed under: uncultured bacterium
Lineage: Bacteria
Description: partial 16S ribosomal RNA
Rfam family: Bacterial small subunit ribosomal RNA
Source: RNAcentral
UAAUACAGAGGGGGCUAGCGUUGUUCGGAAUGACUGGGCGUAAAGGGCGCGUAGGUGGUAUGACAAGUCAGGUGUGAAAGACCCAGGCUUAACCUGGGAACGGCAUUUGAGACUGUCAUGCUUGAGUCUGGGAGAGGAUAGCGGAAUUCCUAGUGUAGAGGUGAAAUUCGUAGAUAUUAGGAAGAACACCGGUGGCGAAGGCGGCUAUCUGGAACAGAACUGACACUGAGGCGCGAAAGCGUGGGGAGCAAACAGG